This 253-nucleotide ribosomal RNA is filed under the name uncultured bacterium. RNAcentral's name for it is "partial 16S ribosomal RNA". It matches the Rfam family "Bacterial small subunit ribosomal RNA", at positions 524 to 776 of the family's 1533-position model. The record is from RNAcentral.
UACGUAGGGGGCAAGCGUUGUCCGGAUUUAUUGGGCGUAAAGAGCGUGUAGGCGGUCUGGUAGGUCCGUUGUGAAAACUCGAGGCUCAACCUCGAGACGCCGAUGGAAACCAUCAGACUAGAGUCCGGAAGAGGAGAGUGGAAUUCCUGGUGUAGCGGUGAAAUGCGCAGAUAUCAGGAAGAACACCUAUGGCGAAGGCAGCUCUCUGGGACGGUACUGACGCUGAGACGCGAAAGCGUGGGGAGCGAACAGG